RNAcentral lists this ribosomal RNA (253 nucleotides) under uncultured bacterium. Its description in RNAcentral is "partial 16S ribosomal RNA". It matches the Rfam family "Bacterial small subunit ribosomal RNA", at positions 524 to 776 of the family's 1533-position model. The record is from RNAcentral.
UACGGAGGGUGCAAGCGUUAUCCGGAUUCACUGGGUUUAAAGGGUGCGUAGGUGGGCAAGUAAGUCAGUGGUGAAAUCUCCGGGCUUAACCCGGAAACUGCCAUUGAUACUAUUUGUCUUGAAUACUGUGGAGGUCAGCGGAAUAUGUCAUGUAGCGGUGAAAUGCUUAGAUAUGACAUAGAACACCAAUUGCGAAGGCAGCAGGCUAAACGAAUAUUGACGCUGAGGCACGAAAGCGUGGGGAUCAAACAGG